Molecule: long non-coding RNA, 615 nt
Organism: Zingiber officinale
Lineage: Eukaryota; Viridiplantae; Streptophyta; Magnoliopsida; Zingiberales; Zingiberaceae
Exons: 3
Source: RefSeq, a predicted model, not a curated record
AUGAGUUUCCUCCAUUGUCCCCUUCGCCUCUGCCUAGCAGUGCAAAGAGACACAAAAAGUUAAUGACAGUUUGAGAUCAAGACUAGAACUUUGAAUCAAUUUGUAGUGAGCUCUGGGAAUAAGUGGUGUUUCUAAUUGAGAUUUGGAAGAAAGCGAACAACAUGGAAGCAAUGGUGAGCUACGACAAAGACAUGAAGCUGUGGCUUGGUCUGCCAAGCUCCGAUGCUCGGAGAAGCAGGUCACGAGGGUCGGAAAAUGAGCGCUUCUGGAUGAUGAGAUUGACUUCGUCGAUUCUUCACCAGAGGUGACUCCGGUUGUCGGGGUAUCAGUGUGUCCCUGAUGGCCAAACACAACUGAAGAUAGAGACGGAGGCAGAUGCCGCCUGGCUGUUUGUGAAGAAGCGGCUCCUUGAGGAAGAUUGACCUCAAGGGUUACAAAGGGUCCAAGGUGUUAUUUUCCUUAGGAGAAGUAUCAAGAAAAGAAUAUUUCAAUAGAUGUGAAUAUGCUAUCAUUUAUAAAGACAGAUAGUGACAUGAUAUUGGUUGGAGAUGUUCCUUGGGAGUGAAUGUCAUACACUAACUUUUGUGUGUUUGAGUAAAGGAAUUUUUUAAAUUA